RNAcentral lists this long non-coding RNA (1377 nucleotides) under Oncorhynchus mykiss (rainbow trout). RNAcentral describes it as "lncRNA (ENSOMYG00000052396.1)". The record is from RNAcentral. Lineage: Eukaryota; Metazoa; Chordata; Actinopteri; Salmoniformes; Salmonidae.
CACUCUGUCCAUUCAUAAGGACUUGUAAGACCCUUAUUCUAUAAUAAUAGACAGAGCCCAGUCUUAAAGUCAUACAGCAGAGUUUAUUCACGAGAGUACUGAACACGAUACAGGUUACCACAGGUUAUAAACUGAAAAUGACGUCAUUAGUUCCAGCACCAACCCGUGCCAUCUCCGUUCCAGUACAAAGGCUGUAUCUCAAGCCUUCCCACAUCCGUCUCCCUACCAAUUUAAUAUAAUUUACGAGUCAAGGUUUUCUCGUGUAGAUAAGCAUUCUAGCCAGUCUGAUUCAUUUGUACCAAGGAACAGACAGUCAUUGUUCUAACUCUUGACCACAUUCACACACAUUAUAUUCAGUACUGGGAUCAAGAAAGAAAACUCAUACAUUUACAGCAACAUAAUAAUAUUCGGAUUAGUACAUAUACAGUAACAUAAUAGUAUUCUGAUUAGUCAGUCCUGAUUGUAAUGUAUACAUAAUUAGUCAUCAUUGAUAAAAAUUCCCUUAACAGGAACACAAGGAGAAGGCCAACCUGGAUAUCCAGGGUUCCAGGGAUACCCUGGUCUGAGAGGACCUGCAGGUUUAAAGGUCUGUCUGUCUGUCUGUCUGGAUACCCUGGUCUGAGAGGACCUGCAGGUUUAAAGCUCUGUCUGUCGGUCUGUCUGUCUGUCAGGAUACCCUGGUCUGAGAGGACCUGCAGGUUUAAAGGUCUGUCUGUCUGUCUGUCUGUCUGUCUGUCUGUCUGUCUGUCUGUCUGUCUGUCUGUCUGUCUGUCUCUGUCUCUGUCUCUGUCUCUGUCUCUGUCUCUGUCUCUGUCUCUGUCUCUGUCUCUGUCCAUUCCACUGUUACGUCCAGAAAAAUAAAGAUAUGAACCGGUUUAGCUCAGUAGAUUACUUUGUCAAUAAGUGCGGAUAGAGCAGGCAAACUAGUUGUUUACAUACGUGAUGGACAGACAAGUGUAGCCUAUGGUGACUGAAAUUUUGCAGGGGCGAGAGAAGGUUGAGGAGGAGGCUUGAAGCGCUGGGCAUCUUGUUAUGACAUGCGUUAUCUGAAUUAGGUCCACAGAAUUAUAUCUAGGAAGAGGAGCUUCUAUGGAGGAACUUUGAAUGUCCUUUGAGCUAACAAGCUUGUGUGUGCAGAGCGGCAGCUGAAUUAAAAACACGUUUCCUUUUUGUAGUUAACAUAUCCAAUGUGAAAUGUGAUAACUCGGCCUAUAGAAUCCUUAACUAGUAUUGUAAAAGUGAAUUAUUCUCCAGCUAAUUAAAUCUCUCUCCCUAUCUUCUGAAUCAUGCUUGUAAUGUCAGUACUGCUUUAGAGGGGGCGGGGCUACAGUAACCUAUGCUUUGGAGGGGGGAGGGGCUACAGUAGCCUAUACUUUG